GCUGAAAGGCUGAAACAUCCGAACACUGCUGGACGACGCUGUUGAGAUCAGUUUAACACAACUUUCUGUUUAAUUUCAAAGUGCUUUCAUUUUGACCACUGGGCAAAGAUCUAGUGAAACAGAAGGAGUGAUCUAUUUUUUUUUUUUUUUUUUUUGGUCUUCUGUCGAAAACUUCCUGGAAAAUGAAACUAAUGUUUACCCAGGAAAAGCUCUGAAACUUACAUGGUAAUUUUUGUGCUGCUACAAAGUACAAGACAUCAGUGAAACAAGACAUUUUCUGAAAUCAAGACCUAGGUAAGUGUAUCCAGCUCAGUUUUUUUCCUAUUUGUUUUAGUUACACAAACUACAAAAUGUUUAGUAUAGUAUUUUAAAGUAUGCCGAGGUAUAUGUCAAGUCUAAUAAAACUGAUGAGUGUCUUAGUCAAACAAUAACCAAACAAUAACAACAGUAUUUACAGCAAAUCAAAAAGAUGAUACCUGUUUCUGAACUGAUUAAGGUAUAUUUGCAUAGCUACCUUGGUAAACUGUUUGCAUGUCCCUUUUCAAAAAAACAAUCUGAAAAGGUAAUAAAUGAGAACAUUAUGGUAAAACUUCUAGGCUCUGAUGUAGAUGUCUGCUUGUUUUUGAGAUAACAUCUGUACAUUAUUCCUUAUAAAUAACAGUUGUAUCUGUUGACAGUGUUGAUCAUUCUGGUGAAUAGUUUGGCCUGCUAAAGAAACCCUCUCGCUCUCAAUGGACUCCUCGUUAUGUUUCCCCGAUCUUCAACCUCUCACAGAAAACAUAAUGUCUGUGAUGUAUGAACUGAAGAAAAAGAACUUUACAGACAACACGCUUCUCUCCAACUUGGACUUUGCUGAGAAAUUCCUCAGAGAUCAUCCUCUGAGAAAUGACUCAAAAUUGUUGGUUAAAGGAAGUUACUCUUGUGCACAAAUUGGUAAAAGUAGCGAGCAGGUUUUUACUAUAACAUCAGAAAACAACAUAGCCUAUGUCAACCUCUGUAUCCACAACAAGUAUGAUGGUAAAGUCUAUGACAGUUCCAUAAAUGCAAAUCACUUUUUCAACCACUCCUGCCAGAAUGAGAUUAAAUCCUGUUUUACACAAGCUAGAGAAGCUAUUCCUAAAGGAUAUUUGACAAGACUACAAGUAAAAUGCAACAGGUUCUCAAUCUCCUAUACUUCCACCAAUAGAAAUAGAGGCCCAACUGUGGAAACCAAGUGUCAGUUGAAGCUAGAGAACAUCACUGCUGAGGGUUUACUGUGCAAAAAAUCCUGGCUGGAAAAAGAGAAGCCCACAUCUCAUGGAUUGAUCGCAUGUCUGGAUCAUCUCAUAAUACAGUACCUUACCACCUUUAAUGCUCCACAGAGCAACUGUAGAUUCAUCAUAAAUGCAGACAAAGAAGUGAUCACAAUCACUUCAGGUGAAGAAGGUGAAACAGAAUAUGUACUGCUAUAUGAUGGUAAAAGUGUCUCAAUGUUUCCACCAUCACUGUAUUAAAAGCUAGUCACAGCAUUCCAUAAAUCUGCAACAUAUUUGCUCGAAAUGUAUUAUUAUAUGCAUGGACUUUGAUCUGACUUCUAAAGUAUUAAUGGUUCUUAACUAAAAGCACUGGGUGUAAUUACAUUACCAUAUGUAAAGUGUAUCUUUAGGGACCGAGCACCGAAACGGUGGCGAAAAUUUACGUUUGUUAUGGGUUUCGGAAGUAGGCGUGGCAAAAUGACUUUACAGCGCCACCUAUGCACAUUUGACAGACUGGCCCCCAAGCUACCAUUCACGCACACAUACGAAAAUUGGCACACACGUCAAACAUGCCAAAACCUACAACAAAAGUCUUUUGGAGCGAUAUAUCAAACCCAACAGGAAGUCAGAUAUUUUUAACUUCCUGCGCAAACAAAGUGCAGUUUUUGCCAUUUCCAGGCGUUGUAUUUUAACGAACUCCUCCUAGGGAUUAAAUCGGAUCAACACCAAAAUUGGGUUUUGUCAUCUAAAGGCCUUGGCGAUGUUAAAUUGCGAAAAUCUUGAGUUUUCCAAUCAAACUUUGACGAUUCGUCACGAAACAGGAAGUCAUUAUAACUCAGGCAUGCAUUGUCCAAUCUGCCUCAAAAUUCACACGUUUGAUAAGAGUCCUGACCUGAACACAUUAGCAUGCCAAUAUCCUGUUACAGUUAUAGUGCCACCUGCUGGCAACAGGAAAUGAAAUGUUUUACAGUGUAGCAAACUUCUACAAAUUGUAUCACAUCGAGUCAGUGUUCCAUUAGUGUAGUUCAAAGGCCUUUGUGAUGCUAAAUUGUGAAGAUCUAGAGUUUUCGCAAAAGUGUCUUUGGCAGAUUGACAAAGUCCAGUGCUUCGCCAUGGAGCAGGAAGUACUUAUAACAAUGUCUGAUCUGCCUGAAAAUUCACAGGUUCGAUGACAUUCCUCUCCUGGAGACAUCUACAUGCCAAUAUUGAGUCACAGUCAUAGCGCCACCUGCUCCUUAAUAUAUUAUUGUCCACUGUUCUCUGUCAUCCUAAGGCCAUCGGGUGGCGGUGAGGCCGGGUGCAGGGUCCCGUUCAUCGCUGCUUGCAGCUUUAAUUGGUUUUAUGUUUCUUUUUUUGUGUGAAAAGCAAAUACUGUAAUAUUUGAUCUGCAUGGCUUCCUAUUUCAUCAGUGUUUCACUGACCAAAAAUAUUUAGUUGAUUCUGAA
Molecule: long non-coding RNA, 2680 nt
Organism: Danio aesculapii
Lineage: Eukaryota; Metazoa; Chordata; Actinopteri; Cypriniformes; Danionidae
Exons: 3
Source: RefSeq, a predicted model, not a curated record